AGAAAGCGGGGGGAUCAAACAGGAUUAGAUACCUUGGUAGUCACGCCGUAAACGAUGAGUGCUAAGAGGAAGGGGGGUUUCCGCCCCUUAGUGCUGCAGCUAACGCAUUAAGCAAGCCGACCGAACAGUACGACCGCAAGCUUGAAACUCAAAGGAAUUGACGGGAACCCGCACAAGCGGUGAGUAACACGUGGGUAAUUCCAACCAACGCGAAGAACCUUACCAAAACUUCGACAAACCUGGACCCUAAUACAGAUAGAAAUUUCGAACCGCAGGGGACAAUAGUGAAAGAUGGUGCAUGGUUGCCGUCAGCUCGUGUCAUGAGAUGUUGGGUUAAGACCCGCGCAACCCAUAAGCUUAGUUGCCAUCAUAAAGUAACGGCACACCAAGGCAACGAUGCCGGUAACAAACCGGAGGAAGGGGGAUGACGGCAAAUCAUCAUGCAACUGAUGAUCACGGCUACACACGUCCUACAAGAGACAACACAAAGGGCAAGAAACCGCAAUGGGCGAAAGCCUAAAUCCCAUAAAGCCGUCCUCAGUUCAGAAAGUAGUCUGCAACGCCACUACAAGAAGAGGAACCGCUAGUAAUCGUAGAUCAGCAUGCUACGGUGAAUACGUUCCCGGGUCUUGUACACACCGCCCGUCACACCACGAGAGUUUGUAACACCCGAAGCCGGUGGAGUAACCAUUUGGAGCUAGCCGUCGAAGGUGACAAAAUUGA
Molecule: ribosomal RNA, 723 nt
Filed under: Staphylococcus hominis
Lineage: Bacteria; Bacillati; Bacillota; Bacilli; Caryophanales; Staphylococcaceae
Description: bacterial SSU rRNA
Rfam family: Bacterial small subunit ribosomal RNA
Source: RNAcentral